Molecule: long non-coding RNA, 583 nt
Organism: Engraulis encrasicolus (European anchovy)
Lineage: Eukaryota; Metazoa; Chordata; Actinopteri; Clupeiformes; Engraulidae
Exons: 3
Source: RefSeq, a predicted model, not a curated record
CUGUAAUAUCACACCACCAGACUGACUUGGAUUCAAGACACAGAUGAAGGCACCAGCAGAAAUCCAUUAAACACCCCAAGCAAGGCUCUGCGGGCCGCAUGUGGCACCCCGGGCCUGAGUUUGCCCACCUCUGAUGCAGAGGAACAAGGUGAACAGGGUUUGCCAUCUCUCUGCAAUCGACUCAUCAAUGAGAACGUGUUGAGAGCUGAAGAAAACCACAGGGAUUCCUGGAAUCAUCUUUUGGACUGGCAAGAGGGAAUUGGAAAUGAUAGUCUACAGCAGUGGUUCUUAACCUUUUUUCUUAGCGCACCCCCUUUCCUGUGCCGAAGACAAGCCGCGCACCCCCAACACAAACUUCUAUAUCAGUGCGUAUAUGCACUAAAAGAUGAUAAAUGAGUGAUUAUUUACAAUGAUUCUCGCUUGAGACAUGAAUCAAUUCCUUGACUUUAAAUGGGGAGCAAAACUUGUUUAAUUUGGACUUAAUUUGCCUAAUUAUAAUGUUUGCAAGUAUAGUUUUGGUCACAACCUCUACACAAACAAAAUUCCGUGCACCCCCUGGAAUCUCUGGAUCACGCCCAGAGGG